Molecule: non-coding RNA, 115 nt
Organism: Triticum aestivum (bread wheat)
Lineage: Eukaryota; Viridiplantae; Streptophyta; Magnoliopsida; Poales; Poaceae
Source: Rfam
UAUGUACUCCCUCCGUUCCGAAUUACUUGUCUUAGAUUUGUCUAGAUUUUAGUGCUAAAUACCUCUGUAUCUAGACAAAUCCAAGACAAGUAAUUCGGAACGGAGAGAGUAGUGU